CACGUAAUGGUGGGGACUCUAAGGAGACUGCUGGUGAAGAACCGGAGGAAGGCGGGGACGACGUCAAGUCAUCAUGGCCUUUAUGGGUAGGGCUACACACGUGCUACAAUGGGCAGUACAGAGGGGAGCGAACCUGAGAAGGGGAGCCGAUCUCARAAAGCUGUUCGUAGUCCGGAUUGGAGUCUGCAACUCGACUCCWUGAAGUCGGAAUCGCUAGUAAUCGCGAAUCAGCACGUCGCGGUGAAUACGUUCCCGGGCCU
Molecule: ribosomal RNA, 260 nt
Filed under: uncultured bacterium
Lineage: Bacteria
Description: partial 16S ribosomal RNA
Rfam family: Bacterial small subunit ribosomal RNA
Source: RNAcentral